Molecule: ribosomal RNA, 429 nt
Filed under: Pseudomonadota bacterium
Lineage: Bacteria; Pseudomonadati; Pseudomonadota
Description: Proteobacteria bacterium partial 16S ribosomal RNA
Rfam family: Bacterial small subunit ribosomal RNA
Source: RNAcentral
UGGGGAAUAUUGGACAAUGGGCGAAAGCCUGAUCCAGCCAUGCCGCGUGUGUGAAGAAGGUCUUCGGAUUGUAAAGCACUUUAAGUUGGGAGGAAGGGCAGUAAGCGAAUACCUUGCUGUUUUGACGUUACCGACAGAAUAAGCACCGGCUAACUCUGUGCCAGCAGCCGCGGUAAUACAGUGGGUGCAAGCGUUAAUCGGAAUUACUGGUCGUACAGCGCGCGUAGGUGGUUCGUUAAGUUGAAUGUGAAAGCCCCGGGCUCAACCUGGGAACUGCAUCCAAAACUGGCGAGCUGGAGUAGGGCAGAGGGUGGUGGUAUUUCCUGUGUAGCGGUGAAAUGCGUAGAUAUAGGAAGGAACACCAGUGGCGAAGGCGACCACCUGGGCUCAAACUGACACUGAGAUGCGAAAGCGUGGGGAGCAAACAGG